Molecule: ribosomal RNA, 570 nt
Filed under: Salmonella enterica
Lineage: Bacteria; Pseudomonadati; Pseudomonadota; Gammaproteobacteria; Enterobacterales; Enterobacteriaceae
Description: bacterial SSU rRNA
Rfam family: Bacterial small subunit ribosomal RNA
Source: RNAcentral
GAAGAACCUUACCUGGUCUUGACAUCCACAGAACUUUCCAGAGAUGGAUUGGUGCCUUCGGGAACUGUGAGACAGGUGCUGCAUGGCUGUCGUCAGCUCGUGUUGUGAAAUGUUGGGUUAAGUCCCGCAACGAGCGCAACCCUUAUCCUUUGUUGCCAGCGAUUAGGUCGGGAACUCAAAGGAGACUGCCAGUGAUAAACUGGAGGAAGGUGGGGAUGACGUCAAGUCAUCAUGGCCCUUACGACCAGGGCUACACACGUGCUACAAUGGCGCAUACAAAGAGAAGCGACCUCGCGAGAGCAAGCGGACCUCAUAAAGUGCGUCGUAGUCCGGAUUGGAGUCUGCAACUCGACUCCAUGAAGUCGGAAUCGCUAGUAAUCGUGGAUCAGAAUGCCACGGUGAAUACGUUCCCGGGCCUUGUACACACCGCCCGUCACACCAUGGGAGUGGGUUGCAAAAGAAGUAGGUAGCUUAACCUUCGGGAGGGCGCUUACCACUUUGUGAUUCAUGACUGGGGUGAAGUCGUAACAAGGUAACCGUAGGGGAACCUGCGGUUGGAUCACCUCCUUA